RNAcentral lists this ribosomal RNA (492 nucleotides) under uncultured bacterium. RNAcentral describes it as "partial 16S ribosomal RNA". It matches the Rfam family "Bacterial small subunit ribosomal RNA", at positions 28 to 507 of the family's 1533-position model. The record is from RNAcentral.
GAUGAACGCUAGCUACAGGCUUAACACAUGCAAGUCGAGCGGAAACGGCAUCGAAAGGUUGCUUUUGUUGGGCGUCGACCGGCGCACGGGUGAGUAACGCGUAUCCACCCUGCCCAUCACUUGGGAAUAACCUUGCGAAACUAAGACUAAGGCCCAAUUACAUCCCACGAAUUCAUCCGAAUGGGAGUAUAUAGUUGUCGGUGAUGGAUGGGGAUGCGUCGGAUUAGCUUGUUGGUGGGGUGACGGCCCACCAAGGCAACGAUCAGUAGGGGAUCUGAGAGGAAGGUCCCCCACAUUGGAACUGAGACACGGUGCACAAGGCUAGGGCAGGACGCAGACAGGAAUCUUGGGGGAGGAAUGUGGGCCUAAGCCCGCCAAGUAGGUUGCGCAAUGACGGGCGCAUGAGUUGUACACUGCUUUUGUAAAGCAAUUACGUGAGUGACGAGUGACUUUUUGAAGGUACCUUAUGAAUAAGCACCGGCUAAUUCCGUG